GCCGCUUUAGCUCAGUUGGUAGAGCAACGGUUUUGUAAACCGUAGGUCUUCAGUUCGAAUCUGAAAAGCGGCUCCA
This 76-nucleotide transfer RNA is filed under the name Minisyncoccota bacterium. Its description in RNAcentral is "tRNA-Thr". It matches the Rfam family "tRNA". Rfam says of the family: Transfer RNA (tRNA) molecules are approximately 80 nucleotides in length. Their secondary structure includes four short double-helical elements and three loops (D, anti-codon, and T loops). The record is from RNAcentral. Lineage: Bacteria; Bacillati; Minisyncoccota.